GAUGAAGAACGUAGCGAAAUGCGAUACUUGGUGUGAAUUGCAGAAUCCCGUGAACCAUCGAGUCUUUGAACGCAAGUUGCGCCCGAAGCCAUCAGGUUGAGGGCACGUCUGCCUGGGCGUCACAUAUCGUUGCCCAAUGCCUAUUGCAGUGCAAUAGGAAUUUCUAGGGCGAAUGAUGGCUUCCCGUGAGCGUUGUUGCCUCGCGGUUGGUUGAAAAUCGAGUCCUUGGUAGGGUGUGCCAUGGUAGAUGGUGGUCGAGUUAGAACGAUACCGAUCAUGUGCAUGCUCCCCAAAAUAUGGCCUCUAUGGCCCACACGCGUCUUUUGACGCUCAUGACGAGACCUCAGGUCAGGCGGGGCUACCCGCUGAAUUUAAGCAUAUCAAUAAGCGGAGGA
This 395-nucleotide unclassified non-coding RNA is filed under the name soil metagenome. Its description in RNAcentral is "partial contains 5.8S ribosomal RNA, internal transcribed spacer 2, and large subunit ribosomal RNA". The stretch from base 1 to 122 matches the Rfam family "5.8S ribosomal RNA", at positions 35 to 154 of the family's 154-position model. The record is from RNAcentral.